This is a small nucleolar RNA of Mobula hypostoma (lesser devil ray), 154 nucleotides long. RefSeq annotates it as small nucleolar RNA U109. The transcript has a single exon. Lineage: Eukaryota; Metazoa; Chordata; Chondrichthyes; Myliobatiformes; Myliobatidae. The record is from RefSeq and is a predicted model, not a curated record.
AUGCACGUUUUUCCUCUCCCUGGCUGAGAGGUCUGAUAUCGGCUCUUUCUCUCAUAAAGACUGGUAUUUCAACAACGUGCUAGAGUAAAUGAGGAUAUCAGGGCCGUGAGUCUCUAAAGAGCAGACUAAACGGUAGUAUAAGUCUGCAACAUAA